This 708-nucleotide small RNA is filed under the name Pan troglodytes (chimpanzee). RNAcentral describes it as "processed transcript". Lineage: Eukaryota; Metazoa; Chordata; Mammalia; Primates; Hominidae. The record is from RNAcentral.
GAAACAGGUGCCCGUGGAACCUGGGCCUGACCCCGAGCUCCGGUCCUGGCGGCGCCUCGUGUGCUACCUUUGCUUCUACGGCUUCAUGGCGCAGAUACGGCCAGGGGAGAGCUUCAUCACCCCCUACCUCCUGGGGCCCGACAAGAACUUCACGCGGGAGCAGGCGAGGACAGGGUCUUGCCCUGGCUCCGGCUGUCGGUGGCGGGGCUGGGGCUGGAGCGGCGGAGCCAUCUCCUUGACCCCUCAUGAAAUGCCUUCUGCUCCUGGCCAGUCCGCCCCUCUCCCUGCCACCCACUGACCAGAUGGCAUCUCUGCUCUUAGUGGAGGGCCACUGUCCACCGCCAAGGUUAUUUAUAGGGAUGAGCAUUGUGUGUGGCGUUUCCCUUAAAAUAACAAAAUAAGAAAAGUCUCUAGAGCGAAAAUGUUUAAAUCCCAUCUGCCUGCCCUCUCGUGUUGUACAUUAACGGAUUAAAAAGUAGAUUCCAGAAAUUAAGCCAUUCCACCAGGCCUUGGAUGUCCUCAGAGGGACGAUGGGUGCAGGCGCUCUGCGCACCUGCCACUUGGUGAGGCCCCCGAUCUCAGCCCCUCUGGCUGCAGGAGAGGCCCGGGGAGAGCUUCAUCACACCCUCCCUCCUGGGGCCCGACAAGAACUUCACGCGGGAGCAGGCACGUGGGCGCCGGGGUGUGGGGGCGGCCACCAGUAGGUGG